UAUAUAAGCCAGCUCCUGAGGGUAUUUACGUAAAUUAACUUUUCGUGUCCCCCAUCAAAAUGUCUAAAACACCCCUUACUCUUUCCUGUCAAACCCUUCUCAGAUCACUCUCACUCCUUCCUCCGCCGCUUCAUGGUCUUAUCUUCGGUCCUCUCUCCUCUAAGAAAAGUAAAGAAUCAUGUAUUUCUCUCUCCUUUUUUUAUCGAUCUUUCUGCAUUUCUCAAGAGUUUUAAUCAUUCACCUCCGAUUCUAUGCAACUCUCAAACCGUUCGCCGUCUUCUUCAUCUUCUUCAUCGUCCAUGCUUCGACGAUUCUGAUUCGAGAGAUGUGGUCGGCAAAUCUUCCGGUUGUUCGACACCUCUGCUGCCAUCACGUCUACAAAAUGUUGCUACAUCCACCGCCGAUUCAGUGGUGGUACCUGCAGAGGUUCCUGUUGUGGAGAAACAACGGUGGGUCCUAAACGAUUUCAAAAUCGGAAAGCCUCUCGGUCGAGGAAAGUUUGGCCAUGUCUACUUGGCUAGAGAGAAGAGAUGCUGCUGAUUGGAAGUUUGGAGCAAAGCAGUUUGUUAAAAUGCUCCCUAAUAAGCUUUUGAUAGUUUUGUUGUUGAUGCUGAAUUUGUAAAGAAGAAUUCAUGGCCUGAAUUUGUAAAGAAGAAUUCAUGGCCUGAACUUGCUCUAUUGUUUCCACUUCUCAUCAGAUGCGCAAUGAAGGCUUUGAAUCAGAAAGUUAACCUAAUCGGCAUUAUCACGAACUUCAGCAUAAUUUGAGAGAGGGGAAACAUACUUGGGUUGCACCAAUACGGAUUUUCGGCUACUCUUGCUUUCCUCAUUGUCUAUUUGGGUUUUCAGCCACAAAGCCACAAACUGCUGCUGCUCACUCUGCUCUGCUGCUGUUGCUGCUGCUGCUGCUUAAUCUGCUCACUCUGCAAGAAAGCAUGCAAUUCUGGUUCAACCUGCAUCAAGAACUUAGGAAGCAUGCAUUAUGUUCUAGAGUAAAUUAUUGCAUAUUCAAUUAUUUGUUAAUCAUGCUGUCAUUUGGUUGAUUGCAAACUUUGCUUUGAAAAAAGCUGUAGAGUGUUUUUCGAAGAGUUUGAAGCUCAUAAAUAGGGUUAAUGAAACAAAAUGGAGUACCUCUUAGGUACAUGAUGAAAUUUUGGAAUUUAUAUUUUGGUACUAAGAUUUAGAUUCUUUGUCAUGUAAACGUAUGAUUACUCUGUUUCACUAUUUAGAUGUAUAACCUUAAUUUUUUAAAAUACGAACUUUGUGAACAUUUUUUAUUCUAAUGUUUAUAUUUA
Spinacia oleracea (spinach) is the source of this 1295-nucleotide long non-coding RNA. RefSeq lists it as uncharacterized. The record is from RefSeq and is a predicted model, not a curated record. The transcript is spliced from 7 exons. Lineage: Eukaryota; Viridiplantae; Streptophyta; Magnoliopsida; Caryophyllales; Amaranthaceae.